UACGGGGGGGGCAAGCGUUGUUCGGAAUUACUGGGCGUAAAGGGCUCGUAGGCGGCCAACUAAGUCAGACGUGAAAUCCCUCGGCUUAACCGGGGAACUGCGUCUGAUACUGGAUGGCUGGAGGUUGGGAGAGGGAUGCGGAAUUCCAGGUGUAGCGGUGAAAUGCGUAGAUAUCUGGAGGAACACCGGUGGCGAAGGCGGCAUCCUGGACCGGCAUUGACGCUGAGGCGCGAAAGCCAGGGGAGCAAACGGG
RNAcentral lists this ribosomal RNA (253 nucleotides) under uncultured bacterium. Its description in RNAcentral is "partial 16S ribosomal RNA". It matches the Rfam family "Bacterial small subunit ribosomal RNA", at positions 524 to 776 of the family's 1533-position model. The record is from RNAcentral.